UACGGAGGGUGCAAGCGUUGUCCGGAUUUAUUGGGUUUAAAGGGUGCGUAGGCGGCCCGUUAAGUCCGGGGUGAAAGCCCACAGCUCAACUGUGGAACUGCCCUGGAUACUGGCGAGCUUGAGUCCAGACGAGGUUGGCGGAAUGGAUGCUGUAGUGGUGAAAUGCAUAGAUAGCAUCCAGAACCCCGAUUGCGUAGGCAGCUGACUAGGCUGGUACUGACACUGAGGCACGAAAGCGUGGGGAGCGAACAGG
This 253-nucleotide ribosomal RNA is filed under the name uncultured bacterium. RNAcentral describes it as "partial 16S ribosomal RNA". It matches the Rfam family "Bacterial small subunit ribosomal RNA", at positions 524 to 776 of the family's 1533-position model. The record is from RNAcentral.